UUUUUUUUUUGUUGUGUUGAUCGCUAUCUUCUUACCGGUACGUCUCUGAUCGCUAGCUUCUAGUAUGCUAUAAAGGAAAAAAAUCUUGUGCCUUUUGUUUUUUAUUACAUUUUUCGCCCUUACAUUGUGUACAUGAAUUUUCAAUAAAUACAAAGUUUGAUCAAAACAUAGUCAUGGAUUUAAAUAAAUAUUUUCAAACUACAAAAAUGUUAAUGAACACGUUCUAAUAUAUGGUGAACAAUUUGUUUUAAAAGGUUCACAAAUUUGAGAAAAAAUGUUGUUGAAAUUUAAAACUGUUUACCGGCAUGACAAAAGUGUUCAAAUAUUUAAAAAAUGAAAGUUUCUCAUUAAUUCUAAAAAAUUCAUGAAUUUAAAAUUUCCAAAUAUUGAUAAAUCUUUUUUAAAAUGCAACUAAAUUUUCUAAAAUAAAUUAUGUGAACUUUAAAGCAUGAUGUUCCUAAAAAUAUGUGGUGCAAGUUGUGAGUCGAUAGUUGUCUUACAACUGGGAUAAAUGAGAUGGGCCCAGUUACCAGUCGAGUGGGACAACAAAAACCUAUGGGUCUAAUUACGAAUCGAGGGGUGGGCUUGCAACUGGGGAAAAUGGGUCGGGGCCAGUUGUGUAUCGAAGGUAGACUUGCAACUAGAAAAGAAUGGAUCCGGCUCUAGUUGCGUGUCAAGAGUGGACUUGCAGCUGGGACAAGAAAAUGCACUUGACCCUCGAUUGCAUGUCAGUGAUGCAGUUGCAGCUGGGAUAAAAAAAAUCACCCCCAGUUGCAUGUCGAGAGUAGACUUCUAACUGAGAUAAAAAUGGUUAGACCUAGUUACGUCCCGAGGCAUAACUUACAACUAGGACAAGAAAAUAGACUUGACCCUCGAUUGCAUGUCAGGGGUGCAAUUGCGGCUAGGAUAAAAAAGAGUCAGACACCCCCACCCCAGUUGGGUGUCGAGGGUGGACCUGCAACUGGAAAAAAAUGGGUCCGACCCCAUUUGCGUCUCAAUGAUGGACUUACAAUUGAUACAAUAAAAGAUGGGCCACCCCAAUUGCAUGCCGAGGGUGGAGUUGCAACUGGGCAAAAAUGCCCCCUCUCUAGUUGCAUGUCUAGGAUAAACUUGCAGCCGUGAAAAAAAUGAUAGGCGCUGCAUAUCAAGGGUGGAUUUGCAAUUAGGACAAAAAAAGUGGGCCCCAAAGUUCUAUCUCGGGUGUGGAGUUGCAAUUGGGACAAAAGGUUCAAACUCCUAAUUACUUGUCAAGAGGGUGCACUUAUAACUAGGACAAAAAAUGAUCAAGCUCAGUUAUGUAGUAAGGAUGGACUUACAACUAGAACAACAGAAGGUUCAUGAGUUUAUCAUCAAAUAAAUAGAAAAGAGAACAGAGAAAAAAAGGAAACAAAAAAAUUAAAAUAAAAUAAUCAUCUAAGUCUACAACACGGAUUCAAAAUAAAUAAAUGAACAAAAAAUAAAAAUAGAAAGAAGAAGAAAAUACAACAAACAAAAUCAAGGCUGAAUCACGGCUCAGUGGAUAAAAAGAGAGCAGCGAGUCAAGAAAUGUCGAGGCCUUACGGACACCGAAGCUUAACACGCACAAAAACUGACUGACCACCACAAUACGGAAUUAAAAAUGUUGUAACUCGCACAAUGUCAAAAUCGACACAACUCGACGAUGGACGCGAGCCAUGAAACAACCCAAGUGCACGGCAACAUAACCAUACGACAACAAAAGUAAGCUGUGAAACAGGCCGACAAUGCGGCAUAUAUUAAAGUGUUGCAUGAAAAUUUCAACAACAAAAGGUCAUGCGUUAAAAACUUAGAUGAGAUUGUGCAGAUCAUGACAUGUACAACUGUGCGUCAAAAUGGCGAACAUACAAUGACCGAUCAAUUAUUCGACAAAAAAUACCCCCAAAAAAUUAUUUUCCAUGGGUCUCGACUUGAAAGGUUAUGCCUAUAUGACAAAAAAUAAAACACACAAAAUAAAAAAGAAUCUUCAAAAAAAUGGAACAAAAACAGAGGCCAUAAACUAGCACUCAGAUUGUCUCUUCCAUUCAUAUAACGGGNNNNNNNNNNNNNNNNNNNNNNNNNNNNNNNNNNNNNNNNNNNNNNNNNNNNNNNNNNNNNNNNNNNNNNNNNNNNNNNNNNNNNNNNNNNNNNNNNNNNNNNNNNNNNNNNNNNNNNNNNNNNNNNNNNNNNNNNNNNNNNNNNNNNNNNNNNNNNNNNNNNNNNNNNNNNNNNNNNNNNNNNNNNNNNNNNNNNNNNNNNNNNNNNNNNNNNNNNNNNNNNNNNNNNNNNAAAAAUGUCCAUGAAAAUGGCCCAAACAAACAGAUUGUGUGGGCGCGAAAUGCCUGACAAUCAGACAAGCGACGCACCAGAGGGUCCGCGAGCGACAAAAACAAUCAGCUAUCAAAAGUUUGCAGGAGAUUUACAACAACAGAUCGAACGGAUAGGAACUAAGUUGAGACAUGGCUAAAUCUCAUCUAGGUGAGAUUUAGCAAAAAAGGACCAAAAUAAAUAUUGCCAAAAAUAAAAUGUGUUCACAAAUUUAACAAAUAGUCAUGAAACAAAAAAAUUACGUGCAUGGCAGGUGGACAUACAAGUGAGUCAGGGUCGGCUAAAUUACGUGUCUAGAAUGGACAUGCAGCAAGAUCGGGAUCGGACAAGUUGCAUAAUAAAGAUGCACAUGCAACUAGGUUGAAACGUAGUAUGUUGUAUGCCAAAAUUAGACAUACAAAUGAAUUUCAAGCAAUUUUAUGUGCGUUAAAAAUAGACAUGGAACAUAUAAUUCCUAAGUGCUCGCCCACGCUCUGCCGACUCUUCAUAAUCGACGAAAAGAAGAACGGGAGUGAGAAGAAAGAGUGAGGAACAAGAUGAAAAGACAUGAAGAAAAUGUAUACCCGUGUCUUCUUAUUCUGUCCAUGACCUGCGUACAAACACCAGAAAAAUGCCAACGCCCAUAAACAAACAAUAACUAGAAAACAGCUAUGCCGACGUUGCUAGCCCGUAUAAACCAACAGCCCAAUAAAACGAGACAACCGUGUGAGAACAAACCUAGAAGGCCGACACAGCCAGGAGAAAACAUUGGCAACGAGCAACACGGAGCAAAUCAACAGUUUGCACGAAUAUUUAAGCUUUUGAUCAUGUGGUGGACAACUUAGAUGUGAGAUAGCUAUUUUACAGUAAAACUGUUUUUUUAAUCAGAUAUUUUUGCUCUUUACAUGAAACAUAUUAAAUUUUUUUUGCGACGGAGAAUGAUUUUUAUUCCAUAUGGAUAGGGUUACAAUUGAGAGGCAAUAAAUCCUCAACACAAGGUGGUCCUCUUGCUAGCCAUACAGCAGUAGUACUUUUCGUACGACUAUACAAAGCCAACCGAUCUGCUACCCUAUUUUGCUCACGUUUAAUUUUCGAAGGAAUAAAAACUCUAUCAGCCAUAAGAUGACGUAUUUCGCUACCAGAUGUCCAAAGGCCGACCUGGUGAGAUGCUCUCCUGUCAAAGCGGCCAGUGCCACCGAGGAGUCUGACUGAAUGAUGAUGGGUAAGGAGCAAUGUUGAAUAGCUAACGCCAUACCCUGCAUUACUGCAUGUAGCUCCGUCUCCACUGCCUCAUUGCAGUUGAAAAUGCAUCGGUACGCCGCAAAGAUGCCACUCCCGUCAUGCCGGCGCAAAACCAUUCCGGCCGUCGCCGAACCAUCAAUAGAAGAGAAGGACCCAUCAACCGACAGUGCCGCCUGGUCAAUACUUGGUCGUGGCCAUGGCGAGCAGGCUUCUUUCUGCACGGCUGGCUGCUCAUGUCUCAUCGGCAUCUUCCCUUUUAUGAUCUCCUUUGUUGUAUACCUCCUGGCCAAAUCUAGUAAUUGCAUGUAGCUCUGGAGGUAUGUUGCAGUCGCUGCCACCGGUGGAACUUCCUUCCCAUGCGCCCCGUCAGACCGCAAAUUCCAUAUCCUCCAUAGCAUCAUAAUCAUGGAAUCCUGCAUCAUGUCAUCGCAGUUUGCCAGGACAUUUAGCAACCACUCUUGCCCAGUAUCCCGAAGGAGCUCUUGAUCAGGUAGCCUCCAUACUAUGCGCAUCUGGGAUACACACUUGGCGGGCAUGAGUGCAUGUCACCAGCGCAUGAAAACUAGUCUCUCUCUCCCUUCCGCAUAGAGGACAGCUAUCUCUAGUAGAGAUAUGUCUACAUUUGUUGCAAGCAUUAGUUGGGAGAGCUCCAGACACCACUUUCUAGGCCAUAAUCCUCAUCUUGAGGGGCACCUUGGCCCCCCAUAUUCGUUGCCAUACAAACCUCUGGCCGGUCGGGCUGUUGCUUGACGCGCAAAGAUUGAGUAAAGUCUCAUGAGCAAGUCGAUACGCCGACCAAACUGUAAACAUGCCACUUUUCUCCGGAAACCACGCAAGGAAAUCCUGGCCGCUUCUCGGUGAUGUUCUUAUCUUUAAGAUUUCUCGCACGUCUAGGUCCCAAAAGUGUUCUCGCAGCCUUUGCACAUUCCAUGCCCCAUGUUCAUCAAUAAAAUCAACCACCCAAUUGAAUCUACAAUUGCGCUUUGGUGUUACUGGCCGAAAAUAAUUUCCCCUUGGGAUCCAAGGAUCUCGCCAUGUCUUGACUAAGGUACCAUCACCCACACGCCAAAUUAUGCCUUUUUCAAUAAGUCCAGUCCAUGGAUUAUCCCCUUCCACACCGCGGAAGAGCUCGCGGGAAACACUGUAUCAAGCAAAUUACCACGAGGAUAAUACUUAGCCCGUAGUAAUCUAGCACACAAACUAUCCGGGCUGUACAAUAGGCGCCAAGCUUGCUUAGCAAGCAAAGCUUGGUUGAACGCUCUCAUAUCCUUAAACCCCAUGCCCCCCAUAGACUUGGGUAAUGUCAUUUUCUCCCAGCUGAGCCAAGCCAUCUUCCUCUUGCCUUUCUCCACCCCCACCAGUACUGCCUCAUCAUUCUAGUUAACUCAUCACAAACAGACGCCGGGAGACGGAACACACUCAUCACAUACGUUGGGAUUGCUUGUGCCACUGUCUUUAUCAAGAUUUCUUUGUUGCCCGAAGACACAUACUGCUCACUCCAAUCCACGGCCUUUUCCUUAAUCUUUCCUGAAUAGUUUCAAAUUGCCCUUUAUGCAUUCUCCCUUCGGGCACCGGAAGACCCAAGUACUUGGGUUCAAAUACUUGUUGUGAGAUAUCCAGGAUACUCUUCACAUCAACCGCCACCGCCGCAUCGCAGUUGUCAGAAAUUAGGAUGGAACACUUUUUAGGGUUAAUAAGUUGACCUGUCGCAUUAGUAUAAGUGUUCAACAAACCUUUAACAAUGCCUUCUUGCUGGCCUGAAGCUUCAAAUAACAACAUAGUAUCAUCCGCAAAUACCAGAUGAGAAAUCACUGGUGCCCCUCGGCAUAUAGAAACUCCCCUCAAUUCCCCUCCAUCAACUGAUUUAGAGAUAAGAGUAGAGAGCGCGUUAGCAACAAAGAGGAAUAAGAACGGGGACAAAGAAUCACCUUGCCGUAAUCGCCUAGACGGGGCAAAGACCUCCAAAAGUUUCCCAUUGAAUUUUACUGAGUAAGUGACUGACUUAACACAUGCCAUAAUCCAAGUUAGCCACUCAGCAGAGAAGCCCCACUUGGUUAGUGCCUGCUCCAAAAAAUCCCAAUCAACCCGAUCAUAAGCCUUUGACAGGUCCAAUUUAUAUGCACAUGUUGCUCCACUGUUUGGCUUCAGAUUUUGUAUAUGAUGGAUACACUCAAAAGCAAUUAUAGAAUUAUCUGAUAUAAGCCGGCCUGGAAUAAACGCACUUUGGUUUUCAGAGAUCAACUCCGAAAGCACAAAACGAAGGCGAUUCACCAAGCACUUAAACAUUAUUUUAUAAACCACAUUGCAUAAACUUAUCGGCCAAAAAUCCUUGAGUUCCUUAGGAUGAGGGACUUUCAGAAUAAGGAAAAUUGCCGUAGCAUUAACACUCUCCGGCAUCACUCCCGACCUGAAAAAAUCCAAGACAGCCGCAACAAUUUCAGAUUUCAAAACAGCCCAGUUACGCUGGAAAAACCUAGCAGGUAGUCCAUCCGUUCCAGGUGCUUUCAAAGGCCCUAUUUGAAACAGGGCAUUCGACACCUCCUCCUCCGAGAACGGGGCGCAUAAAGUAUCAUUCAUUUCUCGCGUAACUUUUGGUAUAAUGCUAUCCAAUACAACCUCUGGUGUCAAGGUCGGAUCUUUCGUAUAAACUUCCUUAAAGUAGGACAUCGCCAUGUGUUCCAUAUCAGUCAGAACGGAACACCAAGAGCCAUCGAUACGUCCAGCCGCUGAAUAUAGCUUCUCCGCGCACGCCACACCGCUCUUCGAUGGAGGUAAGUUGUAUUUCUCUCGCCCUCUUUUAGCCACGUGAUCCGCGAACGCUGUAACCAAAGCAUCUCCUCUCUAUAUAGUAACUCAUCCAUCUGUUGCAUUUUCUGCCUUAAAACAGCCUUGUCCGCAUCCUGCAACUGCAAGUUUGUAAGCUUCUGACGCAACUUCUCCAAUUCAAAAGUGACAUGCCCAAAAUUUUCCUUAGUCCAUGCACGUAACCUGUUCAUCAUCUCCUUUAGUGCGUCUCGGACUGCACCCAGGUUCCCCGCAGGCUUGCUUUUCCCCCAGCUCUCAGCCACCAUGGCACCCAACGCGGGGUGGCGCUCCCACAUUAUUUCAUACCUGGGCGAAGCUUUAGUCCGCAGGGGUUCACCUUGUGCAUAUUGAACAAGAACCGGGGCAUGAUCUGAACAAGACGAAGCCAGGUGCCGCACUCGCGUGAAAGGGAACAGAUCCAUCCAUGCUUCGUCGGCACAUGCUCUGUCCAGUCUGACCUUGACAUUACCAUCACCCUGUUGACCAUUGUCAUAAGUGAACGGGAUUCCAGAAAAACCCAAAUCCAUAAGCUCGCAGGACGUCAGGCGGUCCCUAAACAAAACCAUCUGACUUUUCGCUCGUUGAACACGCGAAAAGUGUUUGUGCUGCCACAAUGCUUCAUUGAAGUCACCACACACUAGCCACGGUUUUGCUGAAAUCGCUCGUAGUGUAGUCAAGGAAGUCCACAUGCGAUGGCGGUUUUCCACUCGUGGUUCGCCAUACACAAAGGUAGUCCUCCAGGAUUUAUCAUUGGCAAUAUCCACGAUCUGCUGCGCAUCAAUAUACCGUGCACACGUAUCCAAAACUGUCACCUGCAACUUCUCAUCCCAGUAGAGAGCAAGCCCCCCACUGCGGCCAUCACUAGAUACACUCAUGAAACCCUUCAUUUGUAGUCUCCACUUUAGUCUCUCCAUCUUACUUGAGGCUUGACGUGUUUCCGAAAGAAAAAUCAGCCCCGGGGAAUUGGCUUUUGAGAGGGCCAAAACCUCACGAAGUGUCCGGCGGUCCCCCCGGUAGUUCCACAUUAACAGACUCAUUGUACCCGGCGGUCCUCCUUGAGGGAGGCCGCCGAUCUAUCACCAGAAAAUCCUUCAGAACCAACACGAGCUCUUUUACUAUUUGAGCUGCUUGCAGGAGACUUGUCCUCAUCCCCCUCCUCGCCCAGUCCUUGGGUUAAAGCCAACACUCCCACAUAAUUUGGGUUGCUCUUAUUACCUUUCUCUAAAUUUUCCAGCUCCAUGGCUAGUCUUUUCCUAACAGAUGGAUCCACCUGCAUAUUCACAUGACACCCCUUCAAUGGGCUGGAGGCAGUAUCCUGUACUUCUGGAUCCAUGCAAGCCUUCCCGGUCUUCUGUUUCUGCUGGGAAUACUCUGUAUAUUUAUACCUCGACCAAACACAUCCUCCGAUCGUGUAUUGUUAAUGCCAUCUUGAAGUCGUGUCCAACUAUUCCACACACACUGCAGAAUCGAGCCAGCUUCUCAUAGCGCACCAAAAACACCUGCCGCUUUUGACCCCUAACAAUACUGACGUAUUUUGUGAGGGGCUCGCGAACAUCAUGGCGAACCCUAAUUCUGACAUAAUCACCACGGGUAUUUCCGUUUAAUCUCAUCUCCAUGAUUUCCCCAACGUUCUUGAGUAAGGACUCUACUAUACUUCUCUUGCAGAAUCCGUCCGGGAGUUUGUGGAUCUGCAGCCAAAUUGGCAUAAACACCAUCGAUACCUCUUCUGCCUUCGUGAAUCCAUCGUAUGGGCACAUCGGCACAAUCCAGUUUCUGAACAGCCAAGGGCCUUGCUCGAGUAUCCGCUCCCAAUCGCCUAGGCACGAUGCUUGGACAACAAACAGAUUCGGGCCGACUGGCCGAAACCUUACAUGCUGCGCAGUGUUCCACGCCGCCCGCAUAUCCUUGUAGAUGUUGGGGAACGUAGUAAUUUCAAAAAAAUUCCUACGCACACGCAAGAUCAUGUGAUGCAUAGAAACGAGGGGGAGAGUAUUGUCUACGUACCCAACGCAGACCGACUGCGGAAGCGAUGACACGACGUAGAGGAAGUAGUCGUACGUCUUCACGAUCCAACCGAUCAAGCACCGAAACUACGGCACCUCCGAGUUCGAGCACACGUUCAGCUCGAUGACGAUCCCCGGACUCCGAUCCAGCAAAGUGUCGGGGAAGAGUUCCGUCAGCACGACGGCGUGGUGACGAUCUUGAUGAACUACAGCAGCAGGGCUUCGCCUAAACUCCGCUACAGUAUUAUCGAGGAAUAUGGUGGCAGGGGGCACCGCACACGGCUAAGGAACAGAUCACGUGGAUCAACUUGUGUGUUCUAGGGUGCCUCUACCUCAGUAUAUAAAGGAGCCAAGGGGGGAGGGGGGCGCCGGCCAGGGAGAGAGGCGCAGGAGGAGUCCUACUCCUUCCGGGAGUAGGACUCCCCCCCAAUCCUAUUCCAACUAGGAUUCCCAAGGGGGAAAGGGGAAGAAGGGUGGCCGGCCACCUCUCCUAGUCCUAAUAGGACUAGGGGAAGGGGGGAGGCGUGCAGCCCUUCUGGGCAGCCCCUUCACCUUUCCACUAAGGCCCAUGAAGGCCCAUAUGGCUCCCGGGGGGUUCCGGUAACCUCCCGGUAAUCCGGUAAAAUCCCGAUUUCACCCGGAACACUUCCGAUGUCCAAACAUAGGCUUCCAAUAUAUCAAUCUUUACGUCUCGACCAUUUCGAGACUCCUCGUCAUGUCCGUGAUCACAUCCGGGACUCCGAACAACCUUCGGUACAUCAAAACUCAUAAACUCAUAAUAUAAUUGUCAUCGAAACCUUAAGCGUGCGGACCCUACGGGUUCGAGAACAAUGUAGACAUGACCGAGACACGUCUCCAGUCAAUAACCAAUAGCGGGACCUGGAUGCCCAUAUUGGCUCCUACAUAUUCUACGAAGAUCUUUAUCGGUCAGACCGCAUAACAACAUACGUUGUUCCCUUUGUCAUCGGUAUGUUACUUGCCCGAGAUUCGAUCGUCGGUAUCCAAUACUUAGUUCAAUCUCGUUACCGGCAAGUCUCUUUACUCGUUCCGUAAUACAUCAUCUCACAACUAACAUAUUAGUUGUAAUGCUUGCAAGGCUUAUGUGAUGUGUAUUACCGAGAGGGCCCAGAGAUACCUCUCCGACAAUCGGAGUGACAAAUCCUAAUCUCGAAAUAUGCCAACCCAACAUCUACUUUUGGAGAUACCUGUAAUGCUCCUUUAUAAUCACCCAGUUACGUUGUGACGUUUGGUAGCACCCAAAGUGUUCCUCCGGCAAACGGGAGUUGCAUAAUCUCAUAGUCAUAGGAACAUGUAUAAGUCAUGAAGAAAGCAAUAGCAACAUACUAAACGAUCGUGUGCUAAGCUAAUGGAAUGGGUCAUGUCAAUCAGAUCAUUCAACUAACGAUGUGACCUUUUUAAUCAAAUAACAACUCAUUGUUCAUGGUUAGAAAACAUAACCAUCUUUGAUUAACGAGCUAGUCAAGUAGAGGCAUACUAGUGACACUUUGUUUGUCUAUGUAUUCACACAUGUAUUAUGUUUCCGAUUAAUACAAUUCUAGCAUGAAUAAUAAACAUUUAUCAUGAUUAUAAGGAAAUAAAUAAUAACUUUAUUAUUGCCUCUAGGGCAUAUUUCCUUCAGUCUCCCACUUGCACUAGAGUCAAUAAUCUAGAUUACACUGUAAUGAUUCUAACACCCAUGGAGCUUUGGUGCUGAUCAUGUUUUGCUCGUGGAAGAGGCUUAGUCAACGGGGCUGCAACAUUCAGAUCCGUAUGUAUCUUGCAAAUCUCUAUGUCUCCCACCUGGACUAGAUCCCAGAUGGAAUUGAAGCGUCUCUUGAUGUGUUUGGUCCUUUUGUGAAAUCUGGAUUCCUUUGCCAAGGCAAUUGCACCAGUGUUGUCACAAAAGAUUUUCAUUGGACCCGAUGCACUAGGUAUGACACCUAGAUCGGAUAUGAACUCCUUCAUCCAGACUCCUUCAUUUGCUGCUUCCGAAGCAGCUAUGUACUCCGCUUCACAUGUAGAUCCCGCUACGACGCUUUGUUUAGAACUUCACCAACUGACUGCUCCACCGUUUAAUGUAAACACGUAUCCGGUUUGCGAUUUAGAAUCGUCCGGAUCAGUGUCAAAGCUUGCAUCAACGUAACCUUUUACAGUGAGCUCUUUGUCACCUCCAUAUACGAGAAACAUAUCCUUAGUCCUUUUCAGAUAUUUCAGGAUGUUCUUGACCGCUGUCCAGUGAUCCACUCCUGGAUUACUUUGGUACCUCCCUGCUAAACUUAUAGCAAGGCACACAUCAGGUCUGGUACACAACAUUGCAUACAUGAUAGAGCCUAUGGCUGAUGCAUAGGGAACAUCUUUCAUAUUCUCUCUAUCUUCUGCAGUGGUCGGGCAUUGAGUCUUACUCAACUUCACACCUUGUAACACAGGCAAGAAUCCUUUCUUUGCUUGAUCCAUUUUGAACUUCUUCAAAAUUUUGUCAAGGUAUGUGCUUUGUGAAAGUCCAAUUAAGCGUCUUGAUCUAUCUCUAUAGAUCUUAAUGCCUAAUAUGUAAGCAGCUUCACCGAGGUCUUUCAUUGAAAAACUUUUAUUCAGGUAUCCCUUUAUGCUAUCCAGAAAUUCUAUAUCAUUUCCAAUCAGUAAUAUGUCAUCCACAUAUAAUAUCAGAAAUGCUACAGAGCUCCCACUCACUUUCUUGUAAAUACAGGCUUCUCCGAAAGUCUAUAUAAAACCAAAUGCUUUGAUCACACUAUCAAAACGUUUAUUCCAACUCCGAGAGGCUUGCACCAGUCCAUAAAUGGAUCGCUGGAGCUUGCACACUUUGUUAGCUCCCUUUGGAUCGACAAAACCUUCCGGUUGCAUCAUGUACAACUCUUCUUCCAGAAAUCCAUUCAGGAAUGCAGUUUUGACAUCCAUCUGCCAAAUUUCAUAAUCAUAAAACGCGGCAAUCGCUACGGGUGAUUCGGACAGACUUAAGCAUCGCUACGGGUGAGAAAGUCUCAUCGUAGUCAACCCCUUGAACUUGUCGAAAACCUUUCGCGACAAGUCGAGCUUUGUAGACAGUAACAUUACCAUCAGCGUUAGUCUUCUUCUUGAAGAUCCAUUUAUUCUCAAUUGCUUGCCGAUCAUCGGGCAAGUCAACCAAAGUCCAUAUUUUGUUCUCAUACAUGGAUCCCAUCUCAGAUUUCAUGGCUUCAAGCCACUUUGCGGAAUCUGGGCUCACCAUCGCUUCUUCAUAGUUCGUAGGUUCAUCAUGAUCUAGUAGCAUGACUUCCAGAACAGGAUUACCGUACCACUCUGGUGUUGAUCUUACUCUGGUUGACCUACGAGGUUCAGUAGUAUCUUGUUCUGAAGUUUCAUGAUCAUUAUCAUUAACUUCCUCACUUAUUGGUGUAAGUGUCGCAGAAACAGUUUUCUGUGAUGUACUACUUUCCAAUAAGGGAGCAGGUACAGUUACCUCGUCAAGUUCUACUUUCCUCCCACUCACUUCUUUCGAGAGAAACUCCUUCUCAAGAAAGUUUCCUAAUUUAGCAACAAAAGUCUUGCCUUCGGAUCUGUGAUAGAAGGUGUAUCCAAUAGUUUCCUUUGGAUAUCCUAUGAAGACACAUUUCUCCGAUUUGGGUUCGAGCUUAUCAGGUUGAAGUUUUUUCACAUAAGCAUCGCAGCCCCAAACUUUCAGAAACGACAACUUUGGUUUCUUGCCAAACCACAGUUCAUAAGACGUCGUCUCAACGGAUUUUGAUGGUGCCCUAUUUAACGUGAAUGCGGCCGUCUCUAGAGCGUAUCCCCAAAAUGAUAGCGGUAAAUCAGUAAGAGACAUCAUAGAUCGCACCAUAUCUAGUAAAGUACGAUUACGACGUUCAGACACACCAUUACGCUAUGGUGUUCCGGGUGGCGUGAGUUGCGAAACUAUUCCAUAGUUUUUCAAAUGUACACCAAACUCGUAACUCAAAUAUUCUCCUCCACGAUCAGAUCGUAGAAACUUUAUUUUCUUGUUACGAUGAUUUUCAACUUCACUCUGAAAUUUUUUGAACUUUUCAAAUGUUUCAGACUUAUGUUUCAUUAAGUAGAUAUAUCCAUAUCUGCUCAAACCAUCUGUGAAGGUGAGAAAAUAACGAUAUCCGCCACGAGCCUCAAUAUUCAUCGGACCACAUACAUCGGUAUGUAUGAUUUCCAACAAAUAUGUUGCUCUCUCCAUAGUACCGGAGAACGGUGUUUUAGUCAUCUUGCCCAUGAGGCACGGUUCGCAAGUACCAAGUGAUUCAUAAUCAAGUGGUUCUAAAAGUCCAUCAGUAUGGAGUUUCUUCAUGCGCUUUACACCGAUAUGACCUAAACGACAGUGCCACAAAUAAGUUGCACUUUCAUUAUCAACUCUGCAUCUUUUGGCUUCAACAUUAUGAAUAUGUGUAUUACUACUAUCGAGAUUCAAUAAAAAUAGACCACUCUUCAAGGGUGCAUGACCAUAGAAGAUAUUACUCAUAUAAAUAGAACAACCAUUAUUCUCUGAUUUAAAUGAAUAACCGUCUCGUAUUAAACAAGAUCCAGAUAUAAUGUUCAUGCUCAACGCUGGCACCAAAUAACAAUUAUUUAGGUCUAAUAUUAAUCCCGAAGGUAGAUGUAGAGGUAGCGUGCCGACCGCGAUCACAUCGACUUUGAACCGUUUCCCACGCGCAUCGUCACCUCGUCCUUAGCCAAUCUUCGCUUAAUCUGUAGCCCCUGUUUCGAGUUGCAAAUAUUAGCAACAGAACCAGUAUCAAAUACCCAGGUGCUACUGCGAGCAUUAGUAAGGUACACAUCAAUAACAUGUAUAUCACAUAUACCUUUGUUCACCUUGCCAUCCUUCUUAUCCGCCAAAUACUUUGGGCAGUUCCGCUUCCAGUGACCAGUCUGCUUACAGUAGAAGCACUCAGUUUCAGGCUUAGGUCCAGACUUGGGUUUCUUCUCUUGAGCAGCAACUUGUUUGCCGUUCUUCUUGAAGUUCCCCUUCUUCUUCCCUUUGCCCUUUUUCUUGAAACUAGUGGUUUUGUUUACCAUCAACACUUGAUGCUCCUUUUUGAUUUCUACCUCCGCAGCUUUCAGCAUUGCGAAGAGCUCGGGAAUAGUCUUGUUCAUCCCUUGCAUAUUAUAGUUCAUCACGAAGCGCUUGUAGCUUGGUGGCAGUGAUUGGAGAAUUCUGUCAAUGAUGCAAUCAUCUGGAAGAUUAACUCCCAAUUGAAUCAAGUGAUUAUUAUACCCAGACAUUUUGAGUAUAUGCUCACUGAUAGAACUGUUCUCCUCCAUCUUGCAGCUAUAGAACAUAUUAGAGACUUCAUAUCUCUCAAUUCGGGCAUUUGCUUGAAAUAUUAACUUCAACUCCUAAAACAUCUCAUAUGCUCCAUGACGUUCAAAACGUCGUUGAAGUCCCGAUUCUAAGCCGUAAAGCAUGGCACACUGAACUAUCGAGUAGUCAUCAGCUUUGCUCUGCCAGACGUUCAUAACAUCUGGUGUUGCUCCAGUAGCAGGCCUGGCACCCAGCGGUGCUUCCAGGACGUAAUUCUUCUGUGCAGCAAUGAGGAUAAUCCUCAAGUUACGGACCCAGUCCGUGUAAUUGCUACCAUCAUCUUUCAACUUUGCUUUCUCAAGGAACGCAUUAAAAUUCAACGGAACAACAACACGAGCCAUCUAUCUACAAUCAACAUAAAUAAGCAAGAUACUAUUAGGUACUAAGUUCAUGAUAAAUUUAGUUCAAUUAAUCAUAUUACUUAAGAACUCCCACUUAGAUAGACAUCCCUCUAAUCCUCUAAGUGAUCACGUGAUCCAAAUCAACUAAACCAUGUCCGAUCAUCACGUGAGAUGGAGUAGUUUCAUCGGUGAACAUCAUUAUGUUGAUCAUAUCUACUAUAUGAUUCACGCUCGACCUUUCGGUCUCCGUGUUCCGAGGCCAUAUCUGUAUAUGCUUGGCUCGUCAAGUAUAACCUGAGUAUUCCGCGUGUGCAACUGUUUUGCACCCGUUGUAUUUGAAUGUAGAGCCUAUCACACCCGAUCAUCACGUGGUGUCUUAGCACGAAGAACUUUCGCAACGGUGCAUACUCAGGGAGAACACUUCUUGAUAAUUUAGUGAGAGAUCAUCUUAUAAUGCUACCGUCAAUCAAAGCGAGAUAAGAUGCAUAAAAAGAUAAACAUCACAUGCAAUCAAUAUAAGUGAUAUGAUAUGGCCAUCAUCAUCUUGUGCUUGUGAUCUCCAUCUCCGAAGCACCGUCAUGAUCACCAUCGUCACCGGCGCGACACCUUGAUCUCCAUCGUAGCAUCGUUGUCGUCUCGCCAAUCUUAUGCUUCCACGACUAUCACUACCGUUUAGUAAUAAAGUAAAGCAUUACAUCGCGAUUGCAUUGCAUACAAUAAAGCGACAACCAUAUGGCUCCUGCCAGUUGCCGAUAACUUGGUUACAAAACAUGAUCAUCUCAUACAAUAAAAUUCAGCAUCAUGCCUUGACCAUAUCACAUCACAACAUGUCCUGCAAAAACAAGUUAGACGUCUUCUACUUUGUUGUUGCAUGUUUUGCGUGGCUGCUACGGGCUUAAGUAAGAACCAAUCUCACCUACGCAUCAAAACCACAAUGAUAGUUUGUCAAAUAGACUCCGUUUUAACCUUCGCAAGGACCGGGCGUAGCCACACUCGGUUCAACUAAAGUUGGAGAGACAGUCGCCCGCAAGCCAUCUAUGUGCAAAGCACGUCGAGGGAACCGGUCUCGCGUAAGCGUACGCGUAAGGUUGGUCCGGGUCGUCUCGUCCAACAAUACCGCCGAACCAAAGUAUGACAUGCUGGUAGGCAGUAUGACUUGUAUCGUCCACAACUCACUUGUGUUCUACUCGUGCAUAUAACAUCAACAUAAAUAACCUAGGCUUGGAUGCCACUGUUGGGGAACGUAGUAAUUUCAAAAAAAUUCCUACGCACACGCAAGAUCAUGUGAUGCAUAGCAACGAGGGGGGGAGUAUUGUCUACGUACCCAACGCAGACCGACUGCGGAAGCGAUGACACGACGUAGAGGAAGUAGUCGUACGUCUUCACGAUCCAACCGAUCAAGCACCGAAACUACGGCACCUCCGAGUUCGAGCACACGUUCAGCUCGAUGACGAUCCCCGGACUCCGAUCCAGCAAAGUGUCGGGGAAGAGUUCCGUCAGCACGACGGCGUGGUGACGAUCUUGAUGAACUACAGCAGCAGGGCUUCGCCUAAACUCCGCUACAGUAUUAUCGAGGAAUAUGGUGGCAGGGGGCACCGCACACGGCUAAGGAACAGAUCACGUGGAUCAACUUGUGUGUUCUAGGGUGCCUCUACCUCAGUAUAUAAAGGAGCCAAGGGGGGAGGGGGCGCCGUCCAGGGAGAGAGGCGCAGGAGGAGUCCUACUCCUUCCGGGAGUAGGACUCCCCCCCCCCCAAUCCUAUUCCAACUAGGAUUCCCAAGGGGGAAAGGGGAAGAAGGGUGGCCGGCCACCUCUCCUAGUCCUAAUAGGACUAGGGGAAGGGGGGAGGCACGCAGCCCUUGUGGGCAGCCCCUUCACCUUUCCACUAAGGCCCAUGAAGGCCCAUAUGGCUCCCGGGGGGCUCCGGUAACCUCCCGGUAAUCCGGUAAAAUCCGGAUUUCACCCGGAACACUUCUGAUGUCCAAACAUAGGCUUCCAAUAUAUCAAUCUUUACGUCUCGACCAUUUCGAGACUCCUCGUCAUGUCCGUGAUCACAUCCGGGACUCCGAACAACCUUCGGUACAUCAAAACUCAUAAACUCAUAAUAUAAUUGUCAUCGAAACCUUAAGCGUGCGGACCCUACGGGUUCGAGAACAAUGUAGACAUGACCGAGACACGUCUCCGGUCAAUAACCAAUAGCGGGACCUGGAUGCCCAUAUUGGCUCCUACAUAUUCUACGAAGAUCUUUAUCGGUCAGACCGCAUAACAACAUACGUUGUUCCCUUUGUCAUCGGUAUGUUACUUGCCCGAGAUUCGAUCGUCGGUAUCCAAUACUUAGUUCAAUCUCGUUACCGGCAAGUCUCUUUACUCGUUCCGUAAUACAUCAUCUCACAACUAACAUAUUAGUUGUAAUGCUUGCAAGACUUAUGUGAUGUGUAUUACCGAGAGGGCCCAGAGAUACCUCUCCGACAAUCGGAGUGACAAAUCCUAAUCUCGAAAUACGCCAACCCAACAUCUACUUUUGGAGAUACCUGUAAUGCUCCUUUAUAAUCACCCAGUUACGUUGUGACGUUUGGUAGCACCCAAAGUGUUCCUCCGGCAAACGGGAGUUGCAUAAUCUCAUAGUCAUAGGAACAUGUAUAAGUCAUGAAGAAAGCAAUAGCAACAUACUAAACGAUCGUGUGCUAAGCUAAUGGAAUGGGUCAUGUCAAUCAGAUCAUUCAACUAAUGAUGUGACCUCUUUAAUCAAAUAACAACUCAUUGUUCAUGGUUAGGAAACAUAACCAUCUUUGAUUAACGAGCUAGUCAAGUAGAGGCAUACUAGUGACACUUUGUUUGUCUAUGUAUUCACACAUGUAUUAUGUUUCCGAUUAAUACAAUUCUAGCAUGAAUAAUAAACAUUUAUCAUGAUUAUAAGGAAAUAAAUAAUAACUAAAUUAUUGCCUCUAGGGCAUAUUUCCUUCAGUAGAAGGCUGCCUGGCUGAAGCUUUUCUCUGUAUGAACCCUAGCAAGGGCCAACCAUCUCACGCACUCGUUGAUCACAGGAUCGUCCUCAUCAAUUACCAGAUCAUCAAAGUCUGUGUUGUCCAGAUUGAGUUGCUCUAGGAAAUCACCCAGAUCCGGCCUUCUGGCGGCGCCGCCACCACCGCUGGUUCCUGACUGGGCGUUCGCUGCAGGUUCCAUCGCUACCCGGGGCUAGGAACGGGCAGCGUACUCGCACACCCCACGCGAGUCGAGGGGCACUUGAUCGAAGCGGGGACUCGCUGGCGAUGCGAUCGCCAGAUAGGAGAAAAACCAAGGGGUGGUUCUCUAUGUAGCGGCACAUUUUUCAAAUUUUUUGCAUUGUAAGGAUAUGAAAUGAAAUGAAUAGCUUUAUUAACUUAAUUUAACAAGACAGUAUUUUGCUUCAUUUAUUUGUAUCAAUCCUUAACAUUACAGUGUGAAAAUGGACGGGCAGCGCGUAAGACUCUAAUCUAGGUUCCUCCUAAUUUUUUACCCAUUGUUGUGGAAACAACACAAGAAAGAUGGGGCAUGAACUUAGUUCCUGAGCUCAAAUAGUAGCAAUAAAUUCAAAAAAAUAAAUGUUUGGCCAACAAACAUUUUGAACUGUUCAGGCUGUGUGCAACAUUUUGUGAAAAAUAACAUUCAUCGUGGUCUAGAAAAUAAACAAAAUGGAUACUUACAAAACUAUCUUAAAGUUUGGGUCUAUCUAGGGCACAUCUAGAUAUGCUCUAGUUAUUGCACAUCUAAGUGACCCAAUCAAACUAGAAAGAAAAGGAAAAAAGACUUAGAUAUGCACGAAUCUUUACAUAAAAUCAAUGGUAUAGGACUUAGAUAUGCAAUAUUUAGGGCAUAUCUAGAUGUGCUUUAGCAAAACUGUUAAAUUUUUUUGAGUAUUUGUUUUUGCGAAGCACCAUGUAUGUUAUGUCUUCACGAAGUUCUGCAUGGAACUGCACACUCAAACGUGUUUGUUUUCAAAAAAAAUGUUUUUUGUUGGUUUGCCUGCAUUUACUAUUCACUUAGAUGCUUGUGAGUUCAGGAGCAGAAUGAAUAUGUGGGAAACAGAUUUUGAUAUUUUUUACACAUGAUGUUACCCUCAAAAUACCAUCCUGAAUAAUGCAUUUUGAUGUUCCUUGCAACGCACGGGCACCUUACUAUUCAGAAUAAAAGAGAAAGAUAAACUUUAAAAUAAAAAAUGAAAAGACAACGACACCGAGAGUCUUAGUGGGCGGCCAGAGAAAAGGAGCAGGGAAAGCAUAGGCCCGGUAAGGGAACGAUGGAACCAGCGUGACAAUUAGAUUAGAGGCCAAUCAUUUCCAGUCGACUAAAAAUAAAAAUUAUGUUUAUGUAGUACUCCUAUUAAGUCACGCACGACAGACUUAGGUCACCACAUAGAUCAUUACAUUUUUUAAGGUACACAGACAUUACAUACCACACACCUUGCCCAUGCACGCGUAGCUCUUUAUUUAGGUAGUACUCCCUUCGUCUCAGUAAUGUAAGACGUUAUUGGUCGCUACAACGGAGCAUGGUGAAUCAACUAAGGCAGAUGAUGGAGAUACGCCAGCGUACGUAACUGGCCAUGGGGGCGCACAGGUACGUGGACGUCGUAGAGCGCGCCAGCAAUGGCUGCAGCUAGCCACUUCAGUACUUCACCACCUACUGCCGUGCUUGCCGCCAUGGUACUUGCCUCCGUGCUUGCCGCCGUGGUGGUGCCCGCCGCCAUGCCCGGUGUGGUACGAUCCCAUGUGACC
RNAcentral lists this long non-coding RNA (18760 nucleotides) under Triticum aestivum (bread wheat). RNAcentral describes it as "long non-coding RNA (TAES_LNC025981)". Lineage: Eukaryota; Viridiplantae; Streptophyta; Magnoliopsida; Poales; Poaceae. The record is from RNAcentral.